ACAUGAUUAUUACUGGCUUACCAUUUGAUGGGAGCACAGUUGAUGAUGAUAUCACUGAGAUCAAUCCUUUUCCUGAUUAUAAAUGUGCUGAGCCUAGUAUGUUUUUUGAUGUGGCUGAGGAAUGUGUGAUGCUACCUUUUCUUGAAGACACUGCCAAAGUCAGCAAUUCCAAUGAUACGAUAUCUAGUGAAGAAGGCGCAGUAGAUCAGGAUAAUGCUAGCUUGUACUUAGCAAUUAAUCAGAUACGAUCAUGCAACCACGAAUCUGAUCUUAACAGUGAUUCAGACCAGGUAGAAGACUUUGAUCCUCAGUUCUUUAUCAAAAA
RNAcentral lists this unclassified non-coding RNA (325 nucleotides) under Hevea brasiliensis (rubber tree). The record is from RNAcentral. Lineage: Eukaryota; Viridiplantae; Streptophyta; Magnoliopsida; Malpighiales; Euphorbiaceae.